Molecule: transfer RNA, 73 nt
Organism: Camelus ferus (Wild Bactrian camel)
Lineage: Eukaryota; Metazoa; Chordata; Mammalia; Artiodactyla; Camelidae
Rfam family: tRNA
About the family: Transfer RNA (tRNA) molecules are approximately 80 nucleotides in length. Their secondary structure includes four short double-helical elements and three loops (D, anti-codon, and T loops).
Source: Rfam
GAGGGUAUAGCUCAAGUGGUAGAGUGUGUGCUUAGCAUGCCCGAGGUACUAGGUUCCAUCCCCAGUACCUCCA